UUCGACGAGCUCACGUUGUCCGACAAAAGUGCACUGUUACAAUAAUAUUGAAUGUUGUUAUGUUAUUACUUUACGACGAUACCUGACACUAGUGCAAUUCUCUUGAAAUGCCUUAUUAUGUAUUAUAAUAGAUACAUAUAUUAAUGUGUAAUUCGAUUUGCACGGUGUGGCGCGAUAGGUUCGAGUGAGAGCACACAAGGGAGUGAUUUUUAUCGAAACACUUGGGGAGGGCCAUCGACCCGGUAAGGCGAUCGAGGACGCGAUCCGCAAGUCAAGAACCAGACUUACCGGACGGCGAACCGUUAAGCUGCAGAGCGUUACCGAAGAAAGGUACCGACGGCGGUCCGGGUAUGUCGCGGAAAGCCGAGACGAACUUGAGCCGUCUCCUGGCGAGCAGCACGAGCAGCGCGACGGCCGCACACACCAGGACGACCGUACCGACGGUCAUGUUGCCGACGACUCGAGUGCAAAAACCGUAAUUUAUAGAUCUUACCAUAAAAUAUGAGUCAUAAGACAUAAGAUCAUCAACAGUUCUUCACCAAUUUUAACUUGUUAAAUGAACGCACAUUUCCUGCAAUAAUUAUUGGAACUCUACACAAUAAACCAGACUUUAUUUAUUAGCAAAAUUGCAAAUUAAUCUGAUACAAGGUCUACUUCUUGAUAUUGAUAUAAUGUACUUCAAACUCAACCUGUCAAUGUACUAUGUAACAAGACAACAAAAAACGUUUUGGUAAAAAUUUUAUGACAUUGUGAACUCCAGUUUUAGUCAAGUCAUUCCAUAUAGAUACAGUUAGAUUGACCAGCUCAUAUACCAGGGUUAACAGUUAUAAAUUAUAAUUUUUUUUUUUUUUAAUUAGGAUCACAUUCAGAUUAUUUAAUAUUUUCGAAUGUAUCACUUUUUAUUUAUUUUCGCUUGUAGAAAUAAUAUUAUAAUUUUAAGCAUUUUAAUUACUGGUGACCAAAAUAAUUGUUUAAAUUACACCCUUUAUGAAUAUACAGUUCCUAUGUGUUAUAUCCUUGUCGCCAAAAUCUAAAAUAUAAAGUGUUUUGUAUUCAUUAUUAUUUAUAAAUAUAUAAUAUCAUAAUGAUUAAAACAAACUGGGAGUUUUGGCGGUAGGCCGUGAUAUAAUAUUAUUCAUUACUUUCAGAACUAGUUAUGGUUAAAAUUACAUUUAUAUUAACCCGAUUCAUCGUAUGAUAACUACUUCUAA
This is a long non-coding RNA of Adelges cooleyi (spruce gall adelgid), 1211 nucleotides long. RefSeq lists it as uncharacterized. The record is from RefSeq and is a predicted model, not a curated record. Lineage: Eukaryota; Metazoa; Arthropoda; Insecta; Hemiptera; Adelgidae. The transcript is spliced from 3 exons.